This 497-nucleotide ribosomal RNA is filed under the name uncultured bacterium. Its description in RNAcentral is "partial 16S ribosomal RNA". It matches the Rfam family "Bacterial small subunit ribosomal RNA", at positions 28 to 507 of the family's 1533-position model. The record is from RNAcentral.
GAUGAACGCUGGCGGCGUGCCUAAUACAUGCAAGUCGAGCGAACAGACGAGGAGCUUGCUCCUCUGACGUUAGCGGCGGACGGGUGAGUAACACGUGGAUAACCUACCUAUAAGACUGGGAUAACUUCGGGAAACCGGAGCUAAUACCGGAUAAUAUAUUGAACCGCAUGGUUCAAUAGUGAAAGACGGUUUUGCUGUCAAUUAUAGAUGGAUCCGCGCCGCAUUAGCUAGUUGGUAAGGUAACGGCUUACCAAGGCAACGAUGCGUAGCCGAUCUGAGAGGGUGAUCAGCCACACUGGAACUGAGACACGGUCCAGACUCCUACGGGAGGCAGCAGUAGGGAAUCUUCCGCAAUGGGCGAAAGCCUGACGGAGCAACGCCGCGUGAGUGAUGAAGGUCUUCGGAUCGUAAAACUCUGUUAUUAGGGAAGAACAAAUGUGUAAGUAACUAUGCACGUCUUGACGGUACCUAAUCAGAAAGCCACGGCUAACUACGUG